GACGAUUAUCUAACAUUUUCUCCUUUUUCUUCUUUCAGAUCUGUAUAUUUUAUCAGGAUCAUAGUCCACUUUCGCUCAAUUUCAUUCACUCGGACAUCUAACUUUGCAUGCGGUGAACGGAAAGUUCAUAUUCCAUAAGUGUCCUUCUUUUUAGAGUGUUGUAUUAAUAUACUAUGCACAGUAGUUACGACGUGAAAUCUAGUGACGAUGUCACGACAGUGCCGCAUCAGCGUAUGCACGAGUCAGAGGUUGGAAAGCCUAACGAGAACACUUCCCUAUCUCCCAGCUACGAUCAAACCUAUUUCGCCGAUGAGAGGGUUCAGGUGCCAGAAACAGGGAAUACGGGGUUUAGCUUUAGAAAACUAUGGGCUUUCACGGGACCUGGCUUCUUAAUGUCCAUAGCUUAUUUGGAUCCUGGCAACAUAGAAUCGGAUCUACAAUCUGGAGUGGUAGCAAGAUACAAGUUAUUAUGGGUACUACUAAGCGCUACUAUCCUAGGUCUCGUUAUGCAAAGACUCAGCGCGCGUCUCGGCGUAGUAACCGGUCUACAUUUGGCAGAGAUGUGUUUCAGACAAUACAAAAAAGUACCUAGACUUAUUUUAUGGUUAAUGAUUGAAAUAGCAAUUAUUGGUAGUGAUAUGCAAGAAGUAAUAGGAACGGCUAUUGCCCUUUACCUCUUAUCUAAUACAGCGAUUCCUAUAUGGGGUGGCGUUCUUAUCACAGUAAUUGACACAUUUACAUUUUUAUUCUUGGACAAAUACGGAUUGAGGAAAUUGGAGUUUUUCUUCGGUUUUCUCAUCUCGAUCAUGGCAGUUACCUUUGGUUACGAGUACAUAGUUGCCGCGCCUUCUCAAAUAGACGUUAUAAGAGGUAUGUUUGUUCCAUGGUACAAUGGAAUGAAUUACGAUAACAAAGUAUUGCUCCAAGCUGUAGGAAUUGUCGGCGCAGUCAUUAUGCCGCAUAAUUUGUACCUUCACAGUGCUUUAGUUAAAUCUAGAGACAUUGAUCGAAGACAGCCUGCAAAAAUCAAAGAUGCCAACAUGUAUUACUUCAUUGAAGCCUGCAUUGCACUAUUCGUUUCGUUUCUAAUCAACGUGUUUGUCGUAGCUGUAUUUGCUCAUGGUCUCUAUAACAAAACGAAUAACGAUGUUUAUAAAGUUUGCGAAGCAAAUAAUUAUACUUUCGGUACAAACACUUUUCAGCAAAACAAUGCGACGUUUGAAGCUGAUCUUUACAAGGGGGGAAUCUUCCUCGGUUGCUCCUUCGGCGCAGUUGCAAUGUACAUAUGGGCUGUCGGUAUUUUGGCCGCCGGUCAAUCGUCCACUAUGACGGGCACUUAUGCCGGUCAAUUCGCGAUGGAAGGAUUCUUAAAUCUACAGUGGGCACGAUGGAAGCGAGUCCUGUUAACUCGAACAAUCGCCAUAGUACCUACCUUCUUGGUAGCGUUUUUGGCUGACAUGAAUAAUUUGAGCGACAUGAACGACAUUUUAAACGCUAUAAUGAGUCUACAGUUACCUUUUGCCACCUUACCGACAAUUGCUUUCACAAGCAGUGCUCAAAUUAUGGGUGAAUUUCGAAACGGAAUAGCGAAUAAAAUCGUAGCGACUGCUUUGUCGGUCCUAGUAAUAACGAUAAAUAUAUACUUCGUGGUACAAACUGUUCAAGAAGACCUGCCUCAUCAUUGGGCUAUAUAUUUAGUCAUGUGUAUAUAUGCGAUUUUGUAUCUUAUUUUCUGCGCUUACUUGGCCAUCCACAUGGCUGUGAGCAUGGGUGCUACUUCCCUCGGUAAUAAUUGGUUGGUUACAAAAUAUAUUGGUACGCCCGUAAGCCCGACACUUGGAAUAUCAAAUCCUGCAGUUUAUGCCAGUUUUCACAAUACGUCGGAAACCUCGUUAAACGCUUAGUUGGAGUAAUGCAGUUGAAUGUGUGAGAGAAUAUGCGACCUAUUAUUAUGUAUUACAUAAACACAUGAAAACAAUGUUGCAUUGGAAAGGUGCUUAUAUCAUCUCUCGUGAUGUCAGCAUAAAGCCCCAUGAACAAAUCCAGCGUUUACUAUUCAAGAAAGUGGUAGUUUUUCAUCUAUAUCAGAAUGGUAAUGUCUUGACAAAUAUAUCAGCAUAGGAUAUGUAGUAAACAGUGUGUGCCACGAAGAGGAUAAAAACAAGAGUCUGUUUUCAAUUGUACAAUUAAAUAAGAGGUAAUGUUUAGUGCUUGAUGCAUCGCACUCAUUCCAUCGUUAAAAAUUCGUUAACAUCAUAAAUUUUGAAUAUAAUUUUUUCAUUACAUGAUAGAAUUAUUAAAAUUAAUUCGUAUUAAUAUUGAUAAGACAACUAUACUUUGUUCAAUGAGAAAUUUACAGCUUUCGCACAUAGAGGCGGCAUAGUGAGCAAAAUGGACAUGUUUCGAGAUUAUUUACAAUACACGAGUAUAAUACAAUACAGGAUACAUCUCCACUUUAUCUGCUUUAUACCACCUCCUAUGCGCGAAAAAU
RNA transcript from Trachymyrmex cornetzi, 2491 nucleotides. It is a transcript of the gene named solute carrier family member malvolio, with no coding region annotated. Lineage: Eukaryota; Metazoa; Arthropoda; Insecta; Hymenoptera; Formicidae. The record is from RefSeq and is a predicted model, not a curated record. The transcript has 12 exons.